Prionailurus viverrinus (fishing cat) is the source of this 509-nucleotide long non-coding RNA. RefSeq lists it as uncharacterized. The transcript is spliced from 3 exons. NCBI's taxonomy places the organism in Eukaryota, Metazoa, Chordata, Mammalia, Carnivora, Felidae. The record is from RefSeq and is a predicted model, not a curated record.
UUAACCAAUAUCCGGAGGCAGACGAUCCUCCCCGGGACAUAGCGUCUGAAGGUCAAUAGUCACCCAACGCUACGACACAAUGCCUACAUCACUUCCUUUCGUUGAGUAGACAUUUAAUCAGCUCGCAUCAUCACAAGAGAAGGACACCAUCUGAGCUGAGGCCUGCGUGAUGAGAAGUUGCCAACCGCUUGGUUACUCGGGAAAGAGUCCUCCACGCAGAGGGAACAGCAGCCAGAGCAGGGGCCCAGAGCGUCGAACCUGCAUUUUGACCUCCAGAGUCUGAUGCCCAGUGGAGGCUUCGGGGAUCUAGAAGCUGUUACUCCAGAGCCUUGCCCGGCCUUGGCCAAGUGGAAAGGACAUCUUCUCCUCUGUUAACUCCACAUCUUCAGGAAUGGCAGGUGAGUCUGAACUCAUGAAUUGAUAGUGAGUGCUUUGUAAAGUCUGACCAAAGGAGUGGGUACAGAAGGACCCUGGGGCCCUCUGUGUGCUCCAAACGAGGAACUGUGAUC